GAUGAACGCUGGCGGCGUGCCUAAUACAUGCAAGUCGAGCGAACAGACGAGGAGCUUGCUCCUCUGACGUUAGCGGCGGACGGGUGAGUAACACGUGGAUAACCUACCUAUAAGACUGGGAUAACUUCGGGAAACCGGAGCUAAUACCGGAUAACAUGUUGAACCGCAUGGUUUAACAGUGAAAGACGGUCUUGCUGUCACUUAUAGAUGGAUCCGCGCCGCAUUAGCUAGUUGGUAAGGUAACGGCUUACCAAGGCAACGAUGCGUAGCCGACCUGAGAGAGUGAUCGGCCACACUGGAACUGAGACACGGUCCAGACUCCUACGGGAGGCAGCAGUAGGGAAUCUUCCGCAAUGGGCGAAAGCCUGACGGAGCAACGCCGCGUGAGUGAAGAAGGUCUUCGGAUCGUAAAACUCUGUUAUUAGGGAAGAACAAAUGUGUAAGUAACUAUGCACGUCUUGACGGUACCUAAUCAGAAAGCCACGGCUAACUACGUG
This 497-nucleotide ribosomal RNA is filed under the name uncultured bacterium. RNAcentral describes it as "partial 16S ribosomal RNA". It matches the Rfam family "Bacterial small subunit ribosomal RNA", at positions 28 to 507 of the family's 1533-position model. The record is from RNAcentral.